UAGAACGGGGUGGUAAUGCUGGAUGCUCCAACUUGACGCAUGCCUUGUUGGGAAAGUGUUUAGUGGCAUGGGAUGGGGUCGCGUCCUAUCAGCUUGUAGGCGGGGUAAUGGCCCACCUAGGCUUCGACGGGUAGCCGGCCUGAGAGGGCGGACGGCCACAUUGGGACUGAGAUACGGCCCAGACUCCUACGGGAGGCAGCAGCA
RNAcentral lists this ribosomal RNA (204 nucleotides) under uncultured Gardnerella sp. RNAcentral's name for it is "partial 16S ribosomal RNA". It matches the Rfam family "Bacterial small subunit ribosomal RNA", at positions 151 to 355 of the family's 1533-position model. The record is from RNAcentral. Lineage: Bacteria; Bacillati; Actinomycetota; Actinomycetes; Bifidobacteriales; Bifidobacteriaceae.